UAAUGGCUGGUAAAGGUGAAGGUCCGACGAUUGGAAUCGAUGUAGGUACUAUCUAUUUGUGUUGACCGGAACGGAGAUGGUGGAAGAAAGUGAGGGAGUUGACGGAGUCCGUAGACGGCGGUCGGUGGCGACGGUGGUUACGUCGGCUGAGGCGGUGGUUACGAUGGUGGUUAAAAGGCAGUGUACGGUGGUUUCGGGUAUGUGCGGUGGCGCGUGAGAGUAACGUCACCGCCGUUGAUGGAAUAUGAGUCGUUGGUUAAGAGUACCGAGACGGUUAUUGCAGCGAGUAGGAGGGUGUGGAAGAUGUUUUAGCUCCGGUGACGGUGUAACAGCGGGGGUGAACGACGGCGGACGGAUGUAGUGGUGGGUUGAACGGCAGCGAAUGACCGGUGAACGGAGACGGAGAGUGUGGAGAGGAGACGGCGGAUGUUUGCUGGUGGGUUUGGGUGUACGGUGGAGCUCGGUUGAAGAUGUUGAUGAUAACAGAUUAAAAUUGUGAAAAAAAAAUUUGAUUAAUCUGUUAUUUAAAUUGUGAAAAAAAAAUUUGAUAACAGGUAUGUUUGUCGGGUUAAUUUAAAGUUCAUUGGUUUGAUGAUUAUCUGUUUAAAUCGCUGUUCAUGAUGGAUACCAUUGUGUUGAAUUUGUUUGAAGGUCUUGGGUUAUUCUCAUCCGUAAAUGUUGUUAAUAUUCGAGUCAAUUUUGGGUAA
This 707-nucleotide long non-coding RNA is filed under the name Helianthus annuus (common sunflower). Its description in RNAcentral is "sRNA HanXRQr2_Chr15g0682291". The record is from RNAcentral. Lineage: Eukaryota; Viridiplantae; Streptophyta; Magnoliopsida; Asterales; Asteraceae.